UUUAACGAGAGUUUGAUCCUGGCUCAGGAUGAACGCUGGCGGCGUGCUUAACACAUGCAAGUCGAGCGCGGUCCCUUUGGUGCUUGCACCAGAGAAGACUGAGCGGCGGACGGGUGAGUAACGCGUGGGUAACCUGCCCUAUACACAUGGAUAACAUGCUGAAAAGCAUACUAAUACAUGAUAACGUACACUGAUGGCAUCUUCGGUGUAUCAAAGCGUUAGCGGUAUAGGAUGGACCCGCGUCUGAUUAGCUAGUUGGUGGGGUAAAAGCCUACCAAGGCCACGAUCAGUAGCCGACCUGAGAGGGUGAUCGGCCACAUUGGAACUGAGACACGGUCCAAACUCCUACGGGAGGCAGCAGUGGGGAAUAUUGCACAAUGGGCGAAAGCCUGAUGCAGCAACGCCGCGUGAACGAUGAAGGUCU
RNAcentral lists this ribosomal RNA (424 nucleotides) under Peptostreptococcus russellii. RNAcentral's name for it is "bacterial SSU rRNA". It matches the Rfam family "Bacterial small subunit ribosomal RNA", at positions 1 to 417 of the family's 1533-position model. The record is from RNAcentral. Lineage: Bacteria; Bacillati; Bacillota; Clostridia; Peptostreptococcales; Peptostreptococcaceae.